RNAcentral lists this ribosomal RNA (433 nucleotides) under uncultured bacterium. Its description in RNAcentral is "partial 16S ribosomal RNA". It matches the Rfam family "Bacterial small subunit ribosomal RNA", at positions 29 to 507 of the family's 1533-position model. The record is from RNAcentral.
AACGAACGCUGGCGGCAUGCCUAACACAUGCAAGUCGAACGAAACCUUCGGGUUUACUGGCGCACGGGUGCGUAACGCGUGGGAACCUGCCCUUAGGUUCGCCAUAACUCCCCGAAUGGGGUGCUAAUACCGGAUCUUGUCUUCCAACCAAAGAUUUAUCGCCUUUGGAUGGGCUUGCGUUGGAUUAGCUAGUUGUUAGCGUAAAAGCCUACCAAUGCGACGAUCCAUAGCUGGUUAGAGAGGAUGAGCAGCCACACUGGUACUGAGACACGGUCCAGAAUACUACGGGAGGCAGGAGUGGGGAAUAUUGGAAAAUGGGGGGAAGGCUGAUGCAGCAAGGACGCGUGAGUGAUGAAGGCCGUAGGGUAGUAAAGUUAUUUUACACGGGAUGAUAAUGACAGUACCGGGAGAAUAAGCACCGGCUAACUCCGUG